This 106-nucleotide small nuclear RNA is filed under the name Vulpes vulpes (red fox). The record is from RNAcentral. Lineage: Eukaryota; Metazoa; Chordata; Mammalia; Carnivora; Canidae.
AUGAUCUGUUCGAUAGCACCUAUACUAAAAUUGGAACAAUACAGAGAAGAUUAGCAUGGCCUCUCACAAGGAUGACAUGCAAAAUUGUGAAGCAUUCUAUAAUUUA